This is a long non-coding RNA of Athalia rosae (coleseed sawfly), 855 nucleotides long. RefSeq lists it as uncharacterized. NCBI's taxonomy places the organism in Eukaryota, Metazoa, Arthropoda, Insecta, Hymenoptera, Athaliidae. The transcript has 3 exons. The record is from RefSeq and is a predicted model, not a curated record.
AGGAAAUAGAGGCGACCGGUGUGAGAAAAAUUGAUCGUUAUCUUUUGCGUCCAAUUCAAAGACCGUAUGAAAGUGAUACGUCGUUUUCUACGCUCGGGAAUCUGUCGGUCGUAUCAGAUAAGAUUACAUCGAUCGCCGUAGUCACACGUUUAUUCAAUACUUUUCGCGAACCUUACCAAAGCCGUUGGGCUUACCGCUUCAUUUACCUUACGUAAGAAAUCAAAAAUAUUUAUACGGUGAAAAUUGAUAAGUUGCUCGGUGAGGAGAGAAAAAAAAAUUUAUAUGUGGGUAUACGCGCAUACACGUCGGACCGAUCGAUGCUCCGAUCUGAUCGUAAUUGCGUAAGUUACACCAAACAAAGGGAGCUCAACAAUCAUGUAAAGCGGUAGGGAUACUAUAAAGAUGAAAACGAAAUCGCCCAGGAAAUCUCGUAUCUGAAACAAAAUCAUGAUAAAUUUGACGAUACGAAUGUACCGAUAAGCAUAACACCGCGGAUGAUCGUACGAGAUACGGUCAACGGAAUCAAGAAUCUCGUUGAAUUUGGUAAAACUUGAACGAAGAAGAUGAUUUUAUUUCAACACGAGGAAUAGCGGUAGCUGGAAUCCAGUUUUUCACGAAAUUUUCCAGCAUCAUCUUUAUGACCUCCCGUUUGAAUGGGAGACCAAUCUGAUGGUUCCGAGGUUGAGUCAAAAGUCCGAAUAUAUCAACGUGCAGCUGGUUAUUUCGUAAUAAAAUCGGAUGCCAUCCUUGACCAACAUUAACAAAAUUUUUUAGCUAAAUUCGAGUCUGCCCGAUUGCCCAACGAAUAAAAGUUCUUCCUGUUAAACGAAAAAGGAAUAAGGAGGAGAGGAAAAA